Molecule: ribosomal RNA, 388 nt
Filed under: uncultured bacterium
Lineage: Bacteria
Description: bacterial SSU rRNA
Rfam family: Bacterial small subunit ribosomal RNA
Source: RNAcentral
GACGAACGCUGGCGGCGUGCUUAACACAUGCAAGUCGAGCGGUAAGGCCCUUUCGGGGGUACACGAGCGGCGAACGGGUGAGUAACACGUGGGUGACCUGCCCUUAGCUCUGGGAUAAGCCUGGGAAACUGGGUCUAAUACCGGAUAUGACUCCAUGACGCAUGUUGUGGGGUGGAAAGCCUUGUGCGGCUGAGGAUGGGCCCGCGGCCUAUCAGCUUGUUGGUGGGGUGAUGGCCUACCAAGGCGACGACGGGUAGCCGGCCUGAGAGGGCGAUCGGCCACACUGGGACUGAGACACGGCCCAGACUCCUACGGGAGGCAGCAGUGGGGAAUCUUGCGCAAUGGGCGAAAGCCUGACGCAGCGACGCCGCGUGAGGGAUGACGGCCU